GCGCCUGUUCCAAAAGGCACUAGUCUGAAACUUCCCAAACGGAAAUAUCACUUCGUACGGUUUUCUUGCGAACAUCAUGCUUGUCAAGUUCUAUUUGCGCCAGUUCUGCAAGUCAUCUGUCCGGCACAAGAUCAUCAAGAAGACCGUCAAGUUUAGCAUGAAGCAGUGACUCAAGGUGCUCGAUUUUCUUAGCAAGCUCGGUGUUAGUGGGCAUGUUGUGCAAAAAAAAUCAAAAGGCAACAGUUAUGAGCAGCACCCGAAGGAGGCACACACCAGAGGAAAAAGGAACUGUUCAAUCAGGCGACCUCGCGCAUCGCAGCGAGAAUCACCCCAGAGGCUACCAUGUGCAUUAAAAUCUCCUAGGACAAGUGCAAGCUAGGCAUUCAAGCUGGGCGGUGGAGCCUAUGCCGUCACAAUUUAUGAGCAGAUCUCUUGGGCUUCUGGUCCAUGGGCAGGAAUGAGUUACACCUACCAUUUUCUCUUCAUCGCUCGCUGCGUCAUCCUCAAUUUAUGCUGAACAACGCUCCAGGUU
Molecule: long non-coding RNA, 532 nt
Organism: Rhipicephalus microplus (southern cattle tick)
Lineage: Eukaryota; Metazoa; Arthropoda; Arachnida; Ixodida; Ixodidae
Source: RefSeq, a predicted model, not a curated record